This 252-nucleotide ribosomal RNA is filed under the name uncultured bacterium. RNAcentral's name for it is "partial 16S ribosomal RNA". It matches the Rfam family "Bacterial small subunit ribosomal RNA", at positions 524 to 776 of the family's 1533-position model. The record is from RNAcentral.
UACGUAGGGUGCAAGCGUUAAUCGGAAUUACUGGGCGUAAAGCGUGCGCAGGCGGUUUUGUAAGUCUGUCGUGAAAUCCCCGGGCUCAACCUGGGAAUUGCGAUGGAGACUGCAAGGCUAGAAUCUGGCAGAGGGGGUAGAAUUCCACGUGUGAGCAGUGAAAUGCGUAGAGAUGUGGAGGAACACCGAUGGCGAAGGCAGCCCCUGGGUCAAGAUUGACGCUCAUGCACGAAAGCGUGGGGAGCAAACGAG